This 1758-nucleotide long non-coding RNA is filed under the name Volvox carteri. RNAcentral's name for it is "long non-coding RNA (VCAR_LNC000424)". The record is from RNAcentral. Lineage: Eukaryota; Viridiplantae; Chlorophyta; Chlorophyceae; Chlamydomonadales; Volvocaceae.
GGUGAGCCAAAACGUUGCCAUCUUAUGUUGGUUGUGUGCGAUCAGAGUUUAGGAUUCAUCCUGCGAAAAUGAACUCGGUUUUAUUAUAGUGAAUCUCGUAUGUGCGGCGGCUCCACAUGGUUUGCGUCAAUCCGUGAUUAACCAGCCCCUCGUUGUUCGACACCUGACAACAAAAGAAGUGGAAUGGGAGUUGUAUGGGUUGCUGCAAUUAGGACGUCAAGCCCGGCGUUGCAAAGGGUGUAGUUAAAGGGGGUUGUGCGAGGCAACCAAGUGCGUAGCUGGUACGAGAGGAAACAUCCUUGAGGAGGAUGCGCACCAUGUUGUGAUGUUGGACCCCUUCCCCGCAAGAUGCGUCUGCCGAUAGAGCCACCCCUGCCUCCCUGCCAUGUCGUCCGCCACAACUCACGCCCAGUCUGGGGCCCCCCCACAUUUCCCCCCCCCCCCCAGGCACGUGGAGUACCUACACCAUCAAGGGGUUGGCCAACACCCCAGUUAGCUCUCUGCAGGUGGGUGUUUGGAAACCGUAGCCUGGGUAGCUACAUAGCUACCCACAAGCUUGCUCACAUGUCCACGGUUCUUGGAAGUUUGGAAGCGGUCGAGCAUAGAGCGCCCGGUGCUUUCCGCUUCAUGCAAAUCCCUCAGCUCGCAAUGAAAGCCACUCCUGUCGAAAGUAUGUCGAACAGUCGGCAGCGGGCUAGGAACCUAGCGGGGAAAUAUGCCUCUGAGGCGAUUGUGUUUUGGAGAAAAACCAACAUCCAGAAAAACGUUUCGUCGGCUUCGCAAUGUAGUAACCUUUCGGGCAGGAAAACUGCACUUUUUGCGACUCUCCUGGGCGGUAUAGCGCUCGUGACUGUAUCUGUUGGCCAAGCAAUGGUUGGGGGCUCAUGGUGUGGCAAGGUGUAGCGGGGGAAGAUGCCAGGAAGUGAUUUGUCCUUACGGGACAGCUCUAUGCUGGACCAAGAGCACUUGCUCGUCCUGGGAAGGGGUGCUGAAUGUGUGCACAAAAUCUUUAGCGCUGUCCGAAAGCUCACAAAAUGGAGAGGCAGCUAUUGUCCGCAGCUGUACAGUUCCCAGCAGACGUUUUGUCUGGACUUCGCUACGGAUACAGACGGAAUCCGAGGCAAUCGACUUGGCAUGGCCUCAUACGGGACGACUGGGUCGCAAAUUAUGAGGAAAGGAGCACCGGUGGCGGGUACAGAUGUCAGGAAGCAAGUGAUAAGUCACGCGCGAUUGCCAUUUCGAGUGUUAGGAUCAGUAAGCCUUGAAAUCGAGAAAAUUCUAGAAGAACUACAUUAGCGCUUAGCGCCCUUUUCAACUGUCCCGCCGUCCCCCGGGCCGCAUUCGCACUUGGGGGCCUUUUGAUUCUGCUGUACAAGCCGCCGAUUGGUGUCGCAACGUUGCAAGUGACAGCACAAGAUGCUAACCAAGCGCAGAGGGGGAUCAUCAGAGUCGGCACUUGCCUAACCUGACUUCCAUUCAGGGACAAGUAUGUAAUGAUCAUUUUAAUAGGUCUUUCUUCUAGUGUGAAGAAGCGGCCCACAGCGGCGCAUAGAUUCCAUUUUGCGGAGGUAUCCAAGCAGUUGCCUAAAGCCCUUAUAAUGGAAGCUAAACGGAAGUCAGCUAGGCAAAUAAGUUGCCAGGUUUCUCAUCCUAAAGCAUGCAUAUUUUAUACAGGUAACGUGCUGACAUGACUUUUGGCAUGUGUGCACUAGUUUAAUCGGACCGGUGCCGCGUUGCACACAUUAAAAUUAAGGCAGG